GAGAAAGAUGAGCAUGGCCGUCUACUUCCCUUUGGUGAAACAAAGAAUUUUGAGUAAUUCGCCUAGAAGGAGUAUUGCCCGAAAAGAAGUACUGCCUAGAUUAAACAUCUAGACAACCCGUCUGCUAACUCACUGUAACACCCCAAAAUUUUCGAGCCCUUCACGAAGCCGACUCCGCUGCCAUCUCUCCAUCCAUUUCUCUUCAGCACGCGUCCCGCCUCCGUCCCCCGUCUCCGACUUCAUCUCCGUCUCCAUCUCUAGGGUUGUCGCCCGUCGUCGUCUCCGUCUCUGCAUCGAACAGUUGUCGCGGCCGCCCCCUUUCCGAUCUACCUCCUUGUCUCACGCAACCACAGAUCUGUCGGCCGUCUCUGUCUCUACCGCAAGUUACGUUCCUUCUUCUGUAUGUCGUCCGGUGCAGCACAGAAGAUUCGGGCUAAAUCGCAGAUAGUCGCCGUCGUCGCCGUGUGAGAUUUCAUCCGUCGUCGCGCGCAGCCAAGACUAGCCGUUCGCGUGUGCGCCGGGUACUUCGACCAAGCCGCGAGCCGCAAAUCGAGCCGAACCGCGAGCCAAAAACCGAGCCGAGCCGCGAGUUGAGCCGAGCCGCGAGCCGCAAGCUAAGCCGAGUCGAGCCGCAAGCCGAGUCGAGUAGCAAUCCAAGUCGGGCCGAGCUGCUAUCCAAGCCGAGCCGAGCCGCGAACUGACCAACCCAAGCCGCGAGUCGAGCCGAGUCGAUCACCUCCAAGCCAAGUCGAGCUCCCUGUUCACCGAACCACCUAAGCCUUCUUUCCUCCACUUCGGGUCACGGUGAGUCUUCGGUAUUAGGGAGUUCACGCUCAAGUUCUCGGGUUCCGCGGCAGGCUUGAUUGGAGAUAGCUCUCUUUUACUCGGGUGGAUUCGUUGGGCGUGGACUCGAUCAAGGGGCAUAACUAAGUGUCAGGUAAGGGUACAGUGAGGGGCAGACCGACGAGGGGCAAGAAGGAUGCGUGAAGGCCAUAUGGACGCGUCUGGUUUUCUUUAUGCUUCCGCUAAUGUAUUUUGUUGCUCGUUAUUUUCAUUGUCGGAUCGAGUCAUGGUUAGAAUAUUUGGUUUGUGGUUUUGUUGUUUGAUGAGUUGAGCAUUGUAUUUUGGAACUCUCGUGAAUGUGAUUUAAAAUAGGGUCCGAAACUGCUUUUAUGAUAUUUUGAAAUGUUUUUAAUGAAUCGUAACCGGUCUUUUAUAA
Molecule: long non-coding RNA, 1219 nt
Organism: Cucumis melo (muskmelon)
Lineage: Eukaryota; Viridiplantae; Streptophyta; Magnoliopsida; Cucurbitales; Cucurbitaceae
Exons: 6
Source: RefSeq, a predicted model, not a curated record